Non-coding RNA from Xyrichtys novacula (pearly razorfish), 6790 nucleotides. Lineage: Eukaryota; Metazoa; Chordata; Actinopteri; Labriformes; Labridae. The record is from the annotation of a GenBank genome assembly.
UGUGGAGUGACAAAGUGUUUAUUUAUAUAACUUUCUUCUCCCUCACACACACACACACACACACACACACACACACACACACACACACACACACACACUCAUCUUCAGUUACAGUUGGUGCUCAGUGUCGAGUAAUAAUCAUCUUCAUCAUAAUCAUAAUAUAAGCAAUAGUUGUCUUCAAAUAUAGAGCAAUACAUGAUUUAUACAAAAUACCCUGCAUAUUACUGUCAAGUUUAUUUGAGGAGAGCAGUGAGAAGGGACUGUUGUUCUCUGUGGUCACCACCAGAGGACGCUGCAGCUCUAAAGUUAUUACCUGACCUGUGGAGGGUUGAGAUCAGGGGUCCGUUUCACGUAGCAGGUUUAGUGGAAACUCCGAGUUUGUUAACCCUGAAAACAGGGAAACUCUGAGUUUUCCGUUUCACAAAGGAGGGUUAGUUAAACCAGGGAGAGAGGGGUAACUCUAACCUGUUUCACAAAGAGAGGUAACUCAACCUCGCGGUCAGUUACCACAGUAACAGACUCCGUGAACCUAACCUGCUCGGGAGCAGGUUUAACUCAGUAAACCCAGAGUUUCAGGUGAAACAUCGGCAUUUUAUCAUUUUGAUCAAGGUUUAUAUUGUCAAGUAAGUAUUAGGUGGCAGUUUGAUCCCUUAAAAAAUGCUCUUUUCACACUCAAAACUGAAUUUUACUCUCUUGUGAUGUUCCGUUAAAUGAUUAGAAAUAUUAAACUAACACAAAAAACGGGUGGUAGUCCAGCAGCCCCACCUUUAACGGAGGCAGAGGAGCUGCCCUCCACCCCCCCGUUCGACGAUCGCGGCCGGUCCGAUCCCUCUCCUUUGCAGCUGCUGCUGUAUUGCACUUCCUUUUACAAACGUGCUGUAAUUCGCUGUUGGCUUGCUGCUGCCCCCUCCUUCUCCCUAUUUCCAUUGGUUGAUCAUUAAAUCUGCGCUCCACAGAUGCUGGCUGUUUAUGUCUGGCGUGCACGUGCUUAACUCCAGGUCAAACUACUCGGAGUUGUUAAAACCGUCUCAAAUCAGGUGUUGUGAAACCGGAAACUCAGAGUUUCCUAACUCAGAGUAGAUCAACUCAGAGUUAAGGAUUUAACUCAGAGUUUGUUGAACCACCUACGUGAAACCACCUACCCCUGGGGGUCCGUUUCACGUAGGUGGUUCAACAAACUCUGAGUUAAAUCCUUAACUCUGAGUUUACGAUCGGACCGGCCGCGAUCGUCGAACGGGGGGGAGCUCCUCUGCCUCCGUUAAAGGUGGGGCUGCUGGACCACCACCCGUUUUUUGUGUUAGUUUAAUAUUCCUAAUCAUUUAACGGAACAUCACAAGAGAGUAAAAUUCAGUUUUGAGUGUGAAAAGAGCAUUUUUUAAGGGAUCAAACUGCCACUUAAUACUUACUUGACAAUAUAAACCUUGAUCAAAAUGAUAAAAUGCCGAUGUCUCACCUGAAACUCUGGGUUUACUGAGUUAAACCUGCUCCCGAGCAGGUUAGGUUCACGGAGUCUGUUACUGUGGUAACUGACCGCGAGGUUGAGUUACCUCUCUUUGUGAAACAGGUUAGAGUUACCCCUCUCUCCCUGGUUUAACUAACCCUCCUUUGUGAAACGGAAAACUCAGAGUUUCCCUGAUUUCAGGGUUAACAAACUCGGAGUUUCCAUUAAACCUGCUACGUGAAACGGACCCCAGGAGUUUUAGAGACGAAUAUAAACUUUCUCUGUUAAAACAUCAUGUGAGGUUGAAGCUCAAAGUAAAAUUUUUGAUAAAAGUUCGUAAAUUAUUAACGUUUUAUUCCACAGAAUAAUUAAACUGUAAUAAAAUCCACCAACAUUGGAUGACUUCAUUAUUAGUUAAUCUCAGCAUUAAUUUCUGUACUUUAAAUUUCUGGAAUUUAGAGUUCAGGGAGUUUCUUUUUAUCUGAACAACAGUCCAAAGAGUUUCAGCUCACAGAAAAAAAAAAAAAAAAGAAAACAUGUUGGCGAUAACAAUAAUCAUAAAGUCUUCAUAUAUAUAUAUUUACAGUGUGUGUUCAGUCAAUGCCACGGCAUCCUUUGGGUGUUAGUUCCUGAAAUGUUUUUGGAUACAGUCGGGGGAAUAUUUGGCUGAACAUGAACCACAAACCUGCAAACUUACGGCUCAGGACAAAGUCUGAAAUUCACCCAUUUAUUCGGGUUUCUUAAAAUCAUUUUCAGGUCCAUAAAAAAAAAAAAAAAAAAAAAAAAAAAAACAGUGCUGCUGUGAUGUUUGUCUUUGCUGAGCCCUCCCUCUCUUCCCUCUGAAUGACACAGAAAAUCUUUAAUAUGUAUGUUUAAAAUACUCAACAAUCCAUUUCAACUCCUAAAGGUUUGAUUUGUUCAACUUCUCUGGAAGAAAUCGGAGAAAAUAAUCGUCUUAUAAUAGGACAAAAGUUUGAAGAAAGACUCAAAACUUUCGUCUUCAUAAAAAUCUUUACAUGAAUGUGAUUUAGAAAUGUCUCAGUGUUCUUAAAAGCCAGUCAAAGGACAUUUUAGUUUCUUUUUCUCUGAUAAUAAAAAUACAAAUAAGUAAAUUUUAGAUAUCUUCUAAUGAAAAUGAAAACGCAUCAAAUUCAGAUUUAUUUGUGUUUAUCUCUCUAAAAAGCCUUUUUUUUUAACCUCCUAGAUAAACCUUAUUUCACAUAUUUUUUAAGUUUAUUUUUCAUCUUUUUCCUCAAAAUUAUGACGGGGAACCAGUGCCACUUUAUAGAGACACUGAGAUUUCAAGAUCGCACCGUCAUUGUUUUCUUCCGCUUCAUCCCAGUCCGGGUCGCAGGGGCAGCAGCUUCGGGAGGGAAGCCCAGAUGGCCCUCACCCCAGCCACUUCCACCAGCUCCUCCUCCGGGGGGAUUCCCAGGCACUCCCAGGUCAGGCGAGAGAUAUAAUCCCUCCACCUGGUCCUGGGCCGGCCACAAGGUCUCCUCCCGGUGGGACAUGUUUGGAACACCUCUAACCGGAGGCGUCCAGAAGGCAUCCUAACCAGAUGCCCGAGCCACCUCAGCUGACUCCUCUCAACGUGGAGGAGCAGCGGUUCUACUCUGAGCGCCUCCCGAGUGUCCGAGCUUCUUACCCUAUCUCCAAGGCUGAGCCCGGCCUCCCUACGAAGGAAACCCAUUUCGGCCGCUUGUAUCCACAAUCCUGUUCUUUCGGUCAUUACCCAAAGUUCAUGACCAUAGGUGAGGAUCGGCACGUAGAUCGACCGGUAAAUAGAGUGUUGCCUUAUGGCUCAGCUCUUUCUUCACCAUGACUGAUCGGAUAAGUGUCUGCAUCACUGCUGACACCACUUUGAUCCGCCUGUCAAUCUCCCGUUCCAUCCUACCCUCACUUGUGAAAAAGAUCCCGAGAUACUUGAACUCCUCCACUUGAGGUAGGACCUCCCCUCCGACCCGGAGAAAGCAAUCUACCUUUUUCCGAUUGAGGACCGUGGCCUCGGAUUUGUAGGUGCUGAUUCGCAUCCCAGCCGCGAAGAGCUGAAGGUCACUGCUCGACAAAGCUAGAAGUACCACAUCAUCUGCAAAAAGCAGCGACGCGAUCUUCUGCCUGCCGAACUGGACACCCUCCACCCCCCGGCUGCGCCUACAAAUUCUGUCCAUAAAGGUUAUGAAACGAACCGGUGACAAAGGGCAGCCCUGGCGGAGUCCAAAUCUCACUGGAAAUGAGUCCGACUUACAGCCGGACCAAGCUUGUGCUCCUUUGGUAAAGGGAUUGGACGGCCCUUAAUUAGGAACCCUCUACCCCAUGCUCCCCGAGCACCCCCCACAGGAUUCCCCUAGGGACACGGUUGUAAGCCUUCUCCAAGUCCACAAAACACAUGUGGACCAGUUAGGUAAACUCCCAUCUCCCCUCAAGAACCCGAGCAAGGGUGAAGAGUUGAUCUGUGGUUUCGCGAUCGGGACGAAAACCGCAUUGUUCCUCCUCAAUCCAAGGUUCAACUAUCGAUCGGACCCUCUUUUCAAGAUCAAAAUUAUAAAUCUGCCUGAGUGAACUUUAGAAAUCAUGAGAUCGUAAAUUUAAGAAAAGAAACAGCCUGAGGAUAUUGUUGUACAGAAAUAUUUGUCUAAGUGGAUCUGAUUCUGUCCUCAGAACUAAAUAAUAAAACUCAUUAUGUUCUGAAUCUUAUCAUCCUUUAAGUUAUUAUUUUUAUUAUAAAUCUUUAAAGUUCAUCCUGCUUCGGUUUCCCUCUGCUGUCGGGAUUUCUUUGUCUUGUGAACACAGCUUGUUUUUGCAGCAGUUUGCAGGUUUGUCACACAGAUGAGGUUUUAGACAAACAGUCCUAAAUAUGAGUGCAAAGGCAUGCAGCACCACCCGCCUCCAUCUCCCAGUGCAGCGUCAUCAACGGAUAAAAACUGAGAAGAAAAAGAAGAAGAAAUAGGAUAUAACAAAAAAAACCAAAAAAAACGCCGACCUCGUCUCUGUCAGUGUCCAUGCUCAGGAUGUUGAUAAAGUUUUAACAUGGAUCCAAACUGUGAUGGAGUCACACCUGAAGUCAUCCUGCUGCUGACGGGCACAGGGUUACGACGUAGAGGAAGACGGUUGCCAUGACAACCUCUGUGUUUCUAUAAAAUAUGGUGCAUUCAUGCUGAUGGAGACGGCGUGUGAGUGCAGUGAGAUCUCUGCAGGAUUAAAGGUCCCGUACUCAGACUCAGGGUGCUGUUUGCAGGGGCGUGGCCAGGGAUGGUUCUCAAGUUUGACUGGCUGCCUGUUCUGACACUUAAAUCAAUCUCACUCAAUCAGACUAAGGUUUGGGGUUUUAAGUGGGGACUCCUCGCGGGGACUCUGGUGACCCUCAGGGUAAAUGACGCUUCAAACUUCAGUCUGACUUUGAUUGGAUGUCACAACGGUGACUCUGCCUAUUAGGAAGCAAUCAUUUUAUUAUAUUAUAUUUAUUAUUGGGUUAUAAAAACGCUGAAGGCGAUGCUGCUGACUUAUAAAAACAUAAAGUCCUAACGUGUCUAUUAGGGGUAGGAGAAAAUUCGAUUCAGUAUUAUAAUUUUUUGUUUUACAAUUUUUAAAUCGACCGAUCUACAUGUGGUGUGUAUUUUUGGGGAAAUAUGGUUCCUGUAAUAGUCAGUAGACAUAAUCAUUCAACUGUUUCACUGGUGUUAAAAAUGCAGACUAAAAAAAAGAGAAAAUCAACAAUAUCAUAGAAUCGAGAUUUAAAUCCAAUCAGCAUCCAAAAAAUCGUACAAUAAUCUAAUAGGGAGAAAUGCAUAUUGUCCCAGGCUUUGAGUCGAUGUCCCUGUUUCUCAUCAUGCUCACAAAAAAGGACAAAGUGAAAUAGAAACAUGCUAAAACAGAGAUCGAUAUAAACCUUUAAAUGAGUCUGUAAAGACGGUGUCAUCUGCAUAUGAUUUGAUGGUUUUGGAGGUUUGAGAAGCAGCUCCAGUUUCCUUGUCUGACAUUAAAGCUUCACUCAGUGUGUAUUGGAGUAAUCUCCAAUUUUCACCGCAUCCAGAACGGCAGCAAUUUUUCGCCGUCCACUAAUUUCUACUGGAUCUGUUUGGGAGACAAAUUUCAUGGCGGAUUACGGACAGCAGGAACUCACAAGAACCCGAGGAGUCAUGUUCAAUCGCACAAUAACGAGUUGUCUCUAUAAAGACAGACACAUAGACAUAUAAGCAGUAGAUUGUGUCCUUCCAGAGGUGGAUAUCUACUUCUAGACUUUUAGAAUCAGCAUCUCCUCAUCCAUGGUGUCAUCGGGGUGUCCGCCUCCAAUCUGCUUUUUUCCGACUUGGUAACUGAAACGCUGGGAACUUGGGUGUGAUGUCAUUUUCAGCUCGGACUUCUGUCUUCCAAGGUAACUCGAAUGCAGAAUAAGGGAGGGGUCACAUCUACACAGGAAGUGAUGUCACUGAUGCAUAUUUACAUGAAAGGUCAUUGCCGAAUUUCCCAUUUUGGACUUUUAUUUGUAAGGCAGAGCUGAAAGUUGAAUAAUUUCAGGUUAGGAACAACAAACAAGAUACCCAGGACAUGGACUCUGAUGAUCCCCAGACCAUCGGCAAUGCUGGAUCUGGACUGGGAGCUGAGAACAAGCUGGGAGGACCUUUAGCCCCAAUUUUAACCGCAUCUGGAAUGGCUCCGAUCCGGAACGGUGGAGAUCUUUGCCAUUCCUACCGGAUCCGUUGGUGAGGCUAAUUUACGGACAGUAGUAAUCCUGAUAACUCACAAGAACCCAAGGAUUCACAUUCGAUCCGCAGAGGAACGGAAAGAAGCCAGGGGGAAAUUGACAUGUUUACUUGAAUGGUUACGAUCAGCUAGGAUUAGAAGAUUCGACCUUUUAGUAGGUGUUCUGGAUGCAGUGAAAAGUGGGGGUAAACAUUUAGAUGUGAACUGUCAGGCUGUGGCAGCAACAGAUCUGAAUACGGGACCUUCAAGUGCAGCUCGGACACAUUAUUGGUGAGUUUUUCACACGCCUGCCUGUGCUGAGUGUUAGUGCUGCAUUCGUGUUCAUCACAUGAACUAGAUUACAAUAAUCUGAUCCGAACAGUAUGGCUACUGUCAAUGUGCUUGACAGGGAGGAUGGAGUGAGGACAGAGGAGAAAAGGAGUGAAGACAGAGGAGAAAAGGAGGGAGGACAGAGGAGAAAACUCCUGGACUCAACGAAGACACUUUCUCGUUUCUCCUCCUGUCGCCAUUCAGUCACCUCACCUCCUCCGUCUUCUCCUCUGCAGCCUCCUGUGUUUGUUUGACAUCUUUUGAACCCUCCUCUUUGUCUGUCAGGCCCUUCAGAGGUCAGAUGACCUCUGUGUUUGCUGGUAGUGUCUCCUCUCU